RNAcentral lists this ribosomal RNA (398 nucleotides) under uncultured bacterium. RNAcentral describes it as "bacterial SSU rRNA". It matches the Rfam family "Bacterial small subunit ribosomal RNA", at positions 123 to 518 of the family's 1533-position model. The record is from RNAcentral.
AACCUUCCCUAUAGUAGAGAAUAGCCCGGCGAAAGUCGGAUUAAUGCUCUAUGUUGUAUUUAGAGGACAUCUGAAGAAUACCAAAGGUUUACCGCUAUAGGAUGGGGAUGCGUCUGAUUAGGUAGUAGGCGGGGUAACGGCCCACCUAGCCGACGAUCAGUAGGGGUUCUGAGAGGAAGGUCCCCCACAUUGGAACUGAGACACGGUCCAAACUCCUACGGGAGGCAGCAGUGAGGAAUAUUGGUCAAUGGACGGAAGUCUGAACCAGCCAAGUAGCCGUGCAGGAUGACGGCCCUAUGGGUUGUAAACUGCUUUUAUAUAGGGAUAAAGUCGGGGACGUGUCCCCGUUUGUAGGUACUAUAUGAAUAAGGACCGGCUAAUUCCGUGCCAGCAGCUGC